UUGGAGCUUCAGCUUCAGCAUCAGUCCUUCCAAUGAACACUCAGGACUGAUUUUCUUUAGGAUGGACUGGUUGGCUCUCCUUGCAGUCCAAGACUCUCAAGAGUCUUCUCCGGCACCACAGUUUUCAUUCAGGCAGUCAAUAAACAUCUACGAGGUCCACUGUGGCCCAGCAAGCUCAGGAGCAACCUCAGGCUGUGCUCAGCCCCAGUCACGGCACAUAGUAGGUCCACAGGAAAUAUCGUCAAACAAAUGAAAGGAAGGUACCAAUGAAUAAAGGGGCCCUCGUCCAUGUAAGAUAAUGGAUCAUGGCCAGCACUGAUUGGGUGCCUACUGUGUGCCAGACCCACCCCCAGCUGGAGAGGACACCAGCUCGGCGGGAGGGACAACGAUCAUCCCCACUCCAUGGUGAGAAGGCUGAGGUCUGGAAGGGACACCGAUUGCCCAAGGCCUUGUAGCCAGGAAGCCGCAGGGCUGGCAUUGGAGCCCAGGCCUCCCAGAUCCUAGGCUGCACGCCCUGCCUUGGCAUUUUGUAUGCUCUGACUCCAUUUGUAUGCUCUAUCCUCCCAACCCUAUGAGGUAGCUGGUGGCAUUAUCCCAUCUUAUGGAUGAGGCAGCGGAGCUCAGAGAGGUGGAGUGACUCACCCGGGGUCACACAGCAUGGGUGUUCAAUCUAUGGGCCACCAAGCCCUGCCCCUGGUAACACUGACUCCCCUCUGAGGAGGGUUAAUGAGACCCACAGGGGAGGUGGGCUGGAGGGUUAGGCCCCUUGGGGUCUGUAGGACCAGGCUGGAGGGUCUGGAGGAGGCGGGGUCUGGGGUGGGCGGACUGGAGCAGGUGGGCCUGGGGAGCCGCCAGCCUUCCGCCCCCACACUCGGGCGCAGCCGCGGGGAGGCUGUGGAAAGUCUGUCGGUCCUGUGCGGCGGCCUGACAAUGGCUCCUUGUGUCUGCGUGGCGGGAGGGGAGGGGCACCAUUGUUCUCCGGGACACCUUCCCGCCAGGGCUGGCUGCGGGCGGUCCCCAGCCCAGGACACUUGGCACAGGGCUGUUCCGGGCGCCUGAAGGAGGUGUGUGCCCGCACCUGUGUGUGUGUUGCUGGAGUGUGACUGUGUGCACAGAGGGGCACGUGUGUCUGACACCGUCACUGAGUGUGCACAUGCAUGCCUUGCACGCUGGGGUGCUGUGUCUGAGCAGGCUUGCGGCUCCCUGCGUCUACUGCGUCCCAGCGUGCCUUCCUGGGUGUGUCUGCAGCAGGCUUGUGGGAUCCCAGUUCCCCGACCAAGGAUCAAACUUGUGCCCUCUGCAGUGGAAGUACGGAGUCUCAACCACUGGACCACCAAGGAAGUCCGGAUAUUUUCUGUCUUUAGUCUCCAUGGCUCACAAUGGGUUGGCUCCUGCAGGAGUUUUAUAGUUUCUGGUCUCUCGUGCCUCUCCGACUGCCGGCGAUGGCCGGGUAUGGGCCCGAUGCUCCAGCGCCAUCCAUUUUCAGGGCUAGUUGAUUCGGCAGGUGAGUUGUUACACACUCCUUAGCGGAUUCGGACUUCCA
This is a long non-coding RNA of Bubalus bubalis (water buffalo), 1543 nucleotides long. RefSeq lists it as uncharacterized. The transcript has 3 exons. The record is from RefSeq and is a predicted model, not a curated record. Lineage: Eukaryota; Metazoa; Chordata; Mammalia; Artiodactyla; Bovidae.